GGAUAGCUCAGUUGGUUAGAGCGUGGUGCUCAUAGUGCCAAGGCUGCAGGUUCAAUCCCCAUAUGCAACA
This 70-nucleotide transfer RNA is filed under the name Podarcis lilfordi (Lilford's wall lizard). RNAcentral's name for it is "tRNA.Met". The record is from RNAcentral. Lineage: Eukaryota; Metazoa; Chordata; Lepidosauria; Squamata; Lacertidae.